This 484-nucleotide ribosomal RNA is filed under the name uncultured bacterium. RNAcentral describes it as "partial 16S ribosomal RNA". It matches the Rfam family "Bacterial small subunit ribosomal RNA", at positions 30 to 507 of the family's 1533-position model. The record is from RNAcentral.
AUUGAACGCUGGCGGCAGGCCUAACACAUGCGAGUCGAGCGGAUGAAGGGAGCUUGCUCCUGGAUUCAGCGGCGGACGGGUGAGUAAUGCCUAGGAAUCUGCCUGGUAGUGGGGGAUAACGUCCGGAAACGGGCGCUAAUACCGCAUACGUCCUGAGGGAGAAAGUGGGGGAUCUUCGGACCUCACGCUAUCAGAUGAGCCUAGGUCGGAUUAGCUAGUUGGUGGGGUAAAGGCCUACCAAGGCGACGAUCCGUAACUGGUCUGAGAGGAUGAUCAGUCACACUGGAACUGAGACACGGUCCAGACUCCUACGGGAGGCAGCAGUGGGGAACAUUGGACAAUGGGCGAAAGCCUGAUCCAGCCAUGCCGCGUGUGUGAAGAAGGUCUUCGGAUUGUAAAGCACUUUAAGUUGGGAGGAAGGGCAGUAAGUUAAUACCUUGCUGUUUUGACGUUACCAACAGAAUAAGCACCGGCUAACUUCGUG